RNAcentral lists this ribosomal RNA (468 nucleotides) under uncultured bacterium. Its description in RNAcentral is "partial 16S ribosomal RNA". It matches the Rfam family "Bacterial small subunit ribosomal RNA", at positions 28 to 507 of the family's 1533-position model. The record is from RNAcentral.
GACGAACGCUGGCGGCGUGCUUAACACAUGCAAGUCGAACGGAAAGGCCCUGCUUUUGUGGGGUUCUCGAGUGGCGAACGGGUGAGUAACACGUGAGUAACCUGCCCUUGACUUUGGGAUAACUUCAGGAGACUGGGGCUAAUACCGGAUGGGAGCUCCUGCUGCAUGGUGGGGGUUGGAAAGUUUCGGCGGUUGGGGAUGGACUCGCGGCUUAUCAGCUUGUUGGUGGGGUAGUGGCUGCCCAAGGCUUUGACGGGUAGCCGGCAUGAGAGGGUGACCGGGGACCUGGGGCCUGCGGGAGGCAGCAGAAGGCUACCGGCGGCAGUGGUGGGAAGCAUUGCGGAGCGAGGGGGAGUGUGAUGCAGAAACGUCGCGAGCGGAAAACCGGGUUUCGGGUUGUAAACCGAUGUGGACUGAACCGAGGAGUGCGUGACGGUAAUGGGUCAAGAAGCAACGGCUAACUACGUG